AACGAACGCUGGCGGCGCGUCUUAAACAUGCAAGUCGAACGAUCUGUAGCAAUACAGGGAGUGGCGGACGGGUGAGGAACACGUAGGAAUCUACCUUGAAGAGCGGGACAACUUUGGGAAACCGGGGCUAAUACCGCAUAGUACAGAGAUGUUAAAGGGCUAGCAAUAGUCGCUUCGAGAUGAGCCUGCGGUCUAUCAGCUUGUUGGUGAGGUAAUGGCUCACCAAGGCUACGACGGAUAGCCGGUCUGAGAGGAUGAUCGGCCACACUGGCACUGAGACACGGGCCAGACUCCUACGGGAGGCAGCAGUUAAGAAUCUUGCGCAAUGGGGGAAACCCUGACGCAGCGACGCCGCGUGAAGGAUGAAGGCUUUCGGGUUGUAAACUUCGGUAGACUGGGAAGAAGAAAUACGUUCGUUGAGGGCGUAUAGUGACGGUACCAGUCUGAAGCCCCGGCUAAUUACGUGCCAGCAGCCGCGGUAA
This 482-nucleotide ribosomal RNA is filed under the name uncultured bacterium. Its description in RNAcentral is "bacterial SSU rRNA". It matches the Rfam family "Bacterial small subunit ribosomal RNA", at positions 29 to 523 of the family's 1533-position model. The record is from RNAcentral.